GAAAGGAAGGAAAGAAAGAAAAAAGAGANGACAACUUUUGACGGUGGAUCUCUUGGCUCGCGCAUCGAUGAAGAACGCAGCCAGCUGCGAUAAGUAGUGUGAAUUGCAGAAUUCAGUGAAUCAUCGAAUCUUUGAACGCAAAUGGCGCUCUUGGGUUCUCCCAGGAGCAUGUCUGUCUGAGUGUCGGAUUGUACNCCAUCGCGGCUGGACCGUUUCCGUCAGCCGCGGCGUUGAGGCGACACGACGCGUUCCCGGUUAGGUCGUGUCCCUCGAAACAGAGCGUAGCCCCGUUGCCGCGGCGGUCGCGUCCGACUCUGUCCGCCAAAAGGGGAGGCUUAAGACCACCUUUCCCUGGACGGAGAAGGGCCAAAGGCAGUGAGAACGAAACCCAACUUGACCUCAGAUCAGGCAAGG
Molecule: ribosomal RNA, 414 nt
Filed under: Ricordea florida
Lineage: Eukaryota; Metazoa; Cnidaria; Anthozoa; Corallimorpharia; Ricordeidae
Description: eukaryotic LSU rRNA
Rfam family: 5.8S ribosomal RNA (bases 33-186)
Source: RNAcentral